CUGGACAAAAGUGGUAAGUGGUGUCCCUCAGGGUUCUGUUUUGGGACCGCUUCUAUUUAACAUGUCUAUAAAGGAUCUUGAAAUAGGCAUUGAAAGCCAUGUUUCAGUGUUUGCAGAUGACACAAAACUUUGUAAAGUAAUAAAAUGUGAGCAGGUUAUUGCUUUGCUGCAUAGGGAUUUACAUUGGGGGACUGGGCACUAAAAUGGCAGAUGAAAUUUAAUGUAGAGAAAUGUAAAGUUAUGCACUUCGGGGUAAGGAAUGCACAAGCAACUUACACCCUAAAUGGUAGUGAAUUAGGGAUGACAAUACACGAGAAGGAUUUAGAAAUUGUUAUAGACAACAAAUUAG
This is a non-coding RNA of Pelobates cultripes (western spadefoot toad), 349 nucleotides long. The record is from the annotation of a GenBank genome assembly. Lineage: Eukaryota; Metazoa; Chordata; Amphibia; Anura; Pelobatidae.